AACUUUUUAAUUCCAACUCUAGGAUAGCAUCAUGCAAUAAGAAAAGUAUGACAGAGGUACCCAUUCCGUUCCCACCUUGAUCAGUAGCUGAAGAAUGGAAGACAAAGUGUUAAAAAA
RNAcentral lists this small nucleolar RNA (117 nucleotides) under Nomascus leucogenys (northern white-cheeked gibbon). Lineage: Eukaryota; Metazoa; Chordata; Mammalia; Primates; Hylobatidae. The record is from RNAcentral.